RNAcentral lists this non-coding RNA (148 nucleotides) under uncultured eukaryote. The record is from RNAcentral.
AAAUAAAAAAGCGAAAGAAAAAACAAAGCUGCGUGAAAGCAUGUGACCACAGGGCCAGGAGACAAAUUCGUCAUUGUUUCAAACCAUUGUUUUUUUUUUUACUCGUUUUACUUCUUCGUUCGCCACUGUUUUGAUUCGCGCGUUUUUU